GAGUUUGAUCAUGGCUCAGAUUGAACGCUGGCGGCAGGCCUAACACAUGCAAGUCGAGCGGUAACAGAGAGUGCUUGCACUCUGCUGACAAGCGGCGGACGGGUGAGUAAUGCUUGGGAAUAUGCCUUAAGGUGGGGGACAACAGUUGGAAACGACUGCUAAUACCGCAUAAUGUCUACGGACCAAAGUGGGGGACCUUCGGGCCUCACGCCUAAAGAUUAGCCCAAGUGGGAUUAGCUAGUUGGUUGAGGUAAAGGCUCACCAAGGCAACGAUCCCUAGCUGGUUUGAGAGGAUGAUCAGCCACACUGGAACUGAGACACGGUCCAGACUCCUACGGGAGGCAGCAGUGGGGAAUAUUGCACAAUGGGCGCAAGCCUGAUGCAGCCAUGCCGCGUGUGUGAAGAAGGCCCUAGGGUUGUAAAGCACUUUCAGCGAGGAGGAAAGGUUAUAGUUUAAUAGACUAUAGCUGUGACGUUACUCGCAGAAGAAGCACCGG
RNAcentral lists this ribosomal RNA (497 nucleotides) under uncultured bacterium. RNAcentral's name for it is "bacterial SSU rRNA". It matches the Rfam family "Bacterial small subunit ribosomal RNA", at positions 9 to 496 of the family's 1533-position model. The record is from RNAcentral.